This 377-nucleotide ribosomal RNA is filed under the name uncultured eukaryote. RNAcentral describes it as "partial 18S ribosomal RNA". It matches the Rfam family "Eukaryotic small subunit ribosomal RNA", at positions 592 to 976 of the family's 1831-position model. The record is from RNAcentral.
CAAUAGCGUAUAUUAAAGUUGUUGCAGUUAAAAAGCUCGUAGUUGGAUUUCUGGCUCGGUGAGGCGGUCCCUCUCGCGAGGCGCACUGCAGCGCCGGGCCAUCCUCUCGAAGGCGGGUGGUGUCAUUAAUUUGAUGUCGCACGAACUCGAGACCUUUACUUUGAAAAAAUUAGAGUGUUCAAAGCAGGCAUACGCUUGAAUACAUUAGCAUGGAAUAAUGGAAUAGGACUUUGGUUCUAUUUUGUUGGUUUCUAGGACCGAAGUAAUGAUUAAUAGGGACAGUUGGGGGCAUUAGUAUUUAAUUGUCAGAGGUGAAGUUCCUGGAUUUAUGAAAGACUAACUACUGCGAAAGCAUUUGCCAAGGAUGUUUUCAUUAA